RNAcentral lists this ribosomal RNA (1372 nucleotides) under uncultured bacterium. Its description in RNAcentral is "bacterial SSU rRNA". It matches the Rfam family "Bacterial small subunit ribosomal RNA", at positions 28 to 1381 of the family's 1533-position model. The record is from RNAcentral.
GAUGAACGCUGGCGGCGUGCCUAAUACAUGCAAGUCGAGCGAACGGACGAGAAGCUUGCUUCUCUGAUGUUAGCGGCGGACGGGUGAGUAACACGUGGAUAACCUACCUAUAAGACUGGGAUAACUUCGGGAAACCGGAGCUAAUACCGGAUAAUAUUUUGAACCGCAUGGUUCAAAAGUGAAAGACGGUCUUGCUGUCACUUAUAGAUGGAUCCGCGCUGCAUUAGCUAGUUGGUAAGGUAACGGCUUACCAAGGCAACGAUGCAUAGCCGACCUGAGAGGGUGAUCGGCCACACUGGAACUGAGACACGGUCCAGACUCCUACGGGAGGCAGCAGUAGGGAAUCUUCCGCAAUGGGCGAAAGCCUGACGGAGCAACGCCGCGUGAGUGAUGAAGGUCUUCGGAUCGUAAAACUCUGUUAUUAGGGAAGAACAUAUGUGUAAGUAACUGUGCACAUCUUGACGGUACCUAAUCAGAAAGCCACGGCUAACUACGUGCCAGCAGCCGCGGUAAUACGUAGGUGGCAAGCGUUAUCCGGAAUUAUUGGGCGUAAAGCGCGCGUAGGCGGUUUUUUAAGUCUGAUGUGAAAGCCCACGGCUCAACCGUGGAGGGUCAUUGGAAACUGGAAAACUUGAGUGCAGAAGAGGAAAGUGGAAUUCCAUGUGUAGCGGUGAAAUGCGCAGAGAUAUGGAGGAACACCAGUGGCGAAGGCGACUUUCUGGUCUGUAACUGACGCUGAUGUGCGAAAGCGUGGGGAUCAAACAGGAUUAGAUACCCUGGUAGUCCACGCCGUAAACGAUGAGUGCUAAGUGUUAGGGGGUUUCCGCCCCUUAGUGCUGCAGCUAACGCAUUAAGCACUCCGCCUGGGGAGUACGACCGCAAGGUUGAAACUCAAAGGAAUUGACGGGGACCCGCACAAGCGGUGGAGCAUGUGGUUUAAUUCGAAGCAACGCGAAGAACCUUACCAAAUCUUGACAUCCUUUGACAACUCUAGAGAUAGAGCUUUCCCCUUCGGGGGACAAAGUGACAGGUGGUGCAUGGUUGUCGUCAGCUCGUGUCGUGAGAUGUUGGGUUAAGUCUCGCAACGAGCGCAACCCUUAAGCUUAGUUGCCAUCAUUAAGUUGGGCACUCUAAGUUGACUGCCGGUGACAAACCGGAGGAAGGUGGGGAUGACGUCAAAUCAUCAUGCCCCUUAUGAUUUGGGCUACACACGUGCUACAAUGGACAAUACAAAGGGCAGCGAAACCGUGAGGUCAAGCAAAUCCCAUAAAGUUGUUCUCAGUUCGGAUUGUAGUCUGCAACUCGACUACAUGAAGCUGGAAUCGCUAGUAAUCGUAGAUCAGCAUGCUACGGUGAAUACGUUCCCGGGUCU